UACGUAGGGUGCGAGCGUUAAUCGGAAUUACUGGGCGUAAAGCGUGCGCAGGCGGUUAUUUAAGUCAGGUGUGAAAGCCCUGGGCUUAACCUAGGAAUUGCGCUUGAGACUGGAUAGCUUGGAGUGCGGCAGAGGGAGGUGGAAUUCCACGUGUAGCAGUGAAAUGCGUAGAGAUGCGGAGGAACACCGAUGGCGAAGGCAGCCCCCUGGGCUGACACUGACGCUCAGGCACGAAAGCGUGGGGAGCAAACAGG
RNAcentral lists this ribosomal RNA (254 nucleotides) under uncultured bacterium. RNAcentral's name for it is "partial 16S ribosomal RNA". It matches the Rfam family "Bacterial small subunit ribosomal RNA", at positions 524 to 776 of the family's 1533-position model. The record is from RNAcentral.